RNAcentral lists this ribosomal RNA (440 nucleotides) under Staphylococcus aureus. RNAcentral's name for it is "bacterial SSU rRNA". It matches the Rfam family "Bacterial small subunit ribosomal RNA", at positions 249 to 681 of the family's 1533-position model. Lineage: Bacteria; Bacillati; Bacillota; Bacilli; Caryophanales; Staphylococcaceae. The record is from RNAcentral.
UUGGUAAGGUAACGGCUUACCAAGGCAACGAUGCAUAGCCGACCUGAGAGGGUGAUCGGCCACACUGGAACUGAGACACGGUCCAGACUCCUACGGGAGGCAGCAGUAGGGAAUCUUCCGCAAUGGGCGAAAGCCUGACGGAGCAACGCCGCGUGAGUGAUGAAGGUCUUCGGAUCGUAAAACUCUGUUAUUAGGGAAGAACAUAUGUGUAAGUAACUGUGCACAUCUUGACGGUACCUAAUCAGAAAGCCACGGCUAACUACGUGCCAGCAGCCGCGGUAAUACGUAGGUGGCAAGCGUUAUCCGGAAUUAUUGGGCGUAAAGCGCGCGUAGGCGGUUUUUUAAGUCUGAUGUGAAAGCCCACGGCUCAACCGUGGAGGGUCAUUGGAAACUGGAAAACUUGAGUGCAGAAGAGGAAAGUGGAAUUCCAUGUGUAGCGG